Molecule: ribosomal RNA, 372 nt
Filed under: uncultured organism
Description: partial 16S ribosomal RNA
Rfam family: Bacterial small subunit ribosomal RNA
Source: RNAcentral
AGAGGGUGCAAGCGUUAAUCGGAAUUACUGGGCGUAAAGCGCGCGUAGGUGGUUUGUUAAGUUGGAUGUGAAAUCCCCCGGGCUCAACCUGGGAACUGCAUCCAAAACUGGCAAGCUAGAGUAUGGUAGAGGGUGGUGGAAUUUCCUGUGUAGCGGUGAAAUGCGUAGAUAUAGGAAGGAACACCAGUGGCGAAGGCGACCACCUGGACUGAUACUGACACUGAGGUGCGAAAGCGUGGGGAGCAAACAGGGAUUAGAUACCCUGGUAGUCCACGCCGUAAACGAUGUCAACUAGCCCGUUGGGAGCCUUGAGCUCUUAGUGGCGCAGCUAACGCAUUAAGUUGACCGCCUGGGAGUACGGCCGCAAGGUUA